GAUGAACGCUGGCGGCGUGCCUAAUACAUGCAAGUCGAGCGAACGGACGAGAAGCUUGCUUCUCUGAUGUUAGCGGCGGACGGGUGAGUAACACGUGGAUAACCUACCUAUAAGACUGGGAUAACUUCGGGAAACCGGAGCUAAUACCGGAUGAUAUUUUGAACCGCAUGGUUCAAAAGUGAAAGACGGUCUUGCUGUCACUUAUAGAUGGAUCCGCGCUGCAUUAGCUAGUUGGUAAGGUAACGGCUUACCAAGGCAACGAUGCAUAGCCGACCUGAGAGGGUGAUCGGCCACACUGGAACUGAGACACGGUCCAGACUCCUACGGGAGGCAGCAGUAGGGAAUCUUCCGCAAUGGGCGAAAGCCUGACGGAGCAACGCCGCGUGAGUGAUGAAGGUCUUCGGACCGUAAAACGCUGUUAUUAGGGAAGAACAUAUGUGUAAGUAACUGUGCACAUCUUGACGGUACCUAAGCAGAAAGCCACGGCUAACUACGU
This 496-nucleotide ribosomal RNA is filed under the name uncultured bacterium. RNAcentral's name for it is "partial 16S ribosomal RNA". It matches the Rfam family "Bacterial small subunit ribosomal RNA", at positions 28 to 506 of the family's 1533-position model. The record is from RNAcentral.